This 1038-nucleotide ribosomal RNA is filed under the name Orbilia sinensis. Its description in RNAcentral is "partial large subunit ribosomal RNA". Lineage: Eukaryota; Fungi; Ascomycota; Orbiliomycetes; Orbiliales; Orbiliaceae. The record is from RNAcentral.
CACUCGUGCUAGUCAUUGCGUGUGAUCGAACUUACAGUAGUGUAUAAGGUAGUUGUUUAAACGUAGUUGAAACGCCUUUUUGUGUUUAUCACAUGGCUGGGGACUGGACUGUCUUCCACCCUGUUUACUUUUGCUUUGUGUUUAAUUUUUUAUAUAAAUAACCAGCUCCAGGGCGUACAUAAAAAAUAUAAAAAAAGCGAUGCAAACAAAAAAAAUUAAAGAGGAUGACUUUUAUUAUCUUUUAACUUACGUCAAUUUAAAUUUUAGAGGUUAUUCAAUAGUUACGGUUGUAAAAACCAUGGACUGUUGUCUGAGAGUGAAUUCAAAUUGGUUUAAUUGCUCCAACUAUUAAAUUAGUUUAAUUCAUAAACUCUUAGCUUGCUCCUCCGGAGUAAUGUUUUUUGUUUCUCCGGGAGGAGGGGCUUACUUCAAAUAAUUAAAUUAGUCUCCGUUUAUUUAAAAAUAAAUACUUUAUUUUUAAAUAAACAAUUGUUUAUUUAAAAAUAAACAAAUGCAAGUAUCAGAAUAAGAGAACAACGGCUAGGUGGCAGUUUAUGCGGGGCACAGAUCCCAUAAAGAGUAGCUGGGUAUAUCCUAAUUUUUUUAGAAAAAUUACGAAAAAAUUUUUUUUAUUUUUGGGAUUUAAUUUUUAUUUAAUAUAUAAAUUUUUUAUAUAAAUUUAAGAUAUAAUAUCUUAAGACGAAUUUAUAUAUAAGCGGAUAAUAUAUAAUACUUAUCCCAAUAUAUAUUUAAUCAUUAUCUUUUUACUUAAAGUAGAAUUUAAUUUUUUAAAGCAAGUAAGAUUUUAAUUAUAUUGAGAAUAGUUGUAAUAAAUAAAUUAACAUCCUCUAUCUUUAGUUCCAUAACAGAACAAUAAUGUACUGGAUGUAAUCUAAUAUAAAGUUGCUAAAAUCCAAGACUUUGGUCUUGUGAAUAGUGAUUUUGAUAAUUACUUGUCAAGUUUAAUGGCAUAAUCUUGCUUAACUGUGUGACCUACGCGUCUAUCAGUCGCGUAAGCGGGGCAUACGAUCACAAGAC